This 566-nucleotide ribosomal RNA is filed under the name uncultured bacterium. Its description in RNAcentral is "bacterial SSU rRNA". It matches the Rfam family "Bacterial small subunit ribosomal RNA", at positions 338 to 916 of the family's 1533-position model. The record is from RNAcentral.
CCUACGGGAGGCAGCAGUGGGGAAUAUUGGGCAAUGGAGGAAACUCUGACCCAGCGACGCCGCGUGCGGGAUGAAGGCCUUCGGGUUGUAAACCGCUUUCAGUAGGGAAGAAGCGAAAGUGACGGUACCUACAGAAGAAGCACCGGCUAACUAUGUGCCAGCAGCCGCGGUAAUACAUAGGGUGCAAGCGUUGUCCGGAAUUAUUGGGCGUAAAGAGCUCGUAGGUGGUUCGUCACGUCGGAUGUGAAAAUCUGGGGCUCAACCCCAGACCUGCAUUCGAUACGGGCGAUCUAGAGUGUGGUAGGGGAGACUGGAAUUCCUGGUGUAGCGGUGGAAUGCGCAGAUAUCAGGAGGAACACCAAUGGCGAAGGCAGGUCUCUGGGCCAUUACUGACACUGAGGAGCGAAAGCGUGGGGAGCGAACAGGAUUAGAUACCCUGGUAGUCCACGCCGUAAACGGUGGGCACUAGUUGUGGGAACCUUCCACGGUUUCUGCGACGCAGCUAACGCAUUAAGUGCCCCGCCUGGGGAGUACGAUCGCAAGAUUAAAACUUAAGGAAUUGACGG